Molecule: ribosomal RNA, 324 nt
Filed under: Acinetobacter baumannii
Lineage: Bacteria; Pseudomonadati; Pseudomonadota; Gammaproteobacteria; Moraxellales; Moraxellaceae
Description: partial 23S ribosomal RNA
Rfam family: Bacterial large subunit ribosomal RNA
Source: RNAcentral
GUUGUAUAGUCAAGUAAUUAAGUGCAUGUGGUGGAUGCCUUGGCAGUCAGAGGCGAUGAAAGACGUGAUAGCCUGCGAAAAGCUCCGGGGAGGCGGCAAAUAUCCUUUGAUCCGGAGAUGUCUGAAUGGGGGAACCCACCUACUUUAAGGUAGGUAUUGCAACAUGAAUACAUAGUGUUGCAAGGCGAACGAGGGGAAGUGAAACAUCUCAGUACCCUUAGGAAAAGAAAUCAAUUGAGAUUCCCUCAGUAGCGGCGAGCGAAAGGGGAUCAGCCCAUUAAGUUAUGUGUGUUUUAGUGGAACGCUCUGGGAAGUGCGAACGUA